Molecule: long non-coding RNA, 338 nt
Organism: Cydia amplana
Lineage: Eukaryota; Metazoa; Arthropoda; Insecta; Lepidoptera; Tortricidae
Exons: 3
Source: RefSeq, a predicted model, not a curated record
CCGUCAAAAAUCCAAUGCUGUGUGCCUGAAUGUGGCAACACCGAACAGGGGCAACCCGGAAAGGUGUUCUAUGAGUUCCCCAGGGAGCCAUUAUGGCGUUCAAAAUGGCUACGUCUGAUCAACCGUCUCGACAUGGCACCGACAGCCGAAGACCGGGUCUGUUCAGACCACUUCUCCCCUAAUCAGUACACCGUCAAGAGAGCGUUGAGGGGGGACGCACUACCGACGAUCGACAAGCAGCCAACGGCAACGCCUCAAAUGAAAAGGAAACCAGAAGAUACGAACGUGCCAACCAACAGCAAACAACCACGCCUAGAGACACAACCCGACAUAGAACA